This 304-nucleotide ribosomal RNA is filed under the name uncultured bacterium. Its description in RNAcentral is "partial 16S ribosomal RNA". It matches the Rfam family "Bacterial small subunit ribosomal RNA", at positions 506 to 807 of the family's 1533-position model. The record is from RNAcentral.
CAACAGUCGCCACGGUAAUACGGAGGAUCCAAGCGUUAUCCGGAAUCAUUGGGUUUAAAGGGUCCGUAGGCGGUCUUGUAAGUCAGUGGUGAAAGCCCAUCGCUCAACGGUGGAACGGCCAUUGAUACUGCAGGACUUGAAUUAUUGGGAAGUAACUAGAAUAUGUAGUGUAGCGGUGAAAUGCUUAGAGAUUACAUGGAAUACCAAUUGCGAAGGCAGGUUACUACCAAUUGAUUGACGCUGAUGGACGAAAGCGUGGGUAGCGAACAGGAUUAGAUACCCCGGUAGUCCCUGUCUCUUAUAC